This 311-nucleotide ribosomal RNA is filed under the name uncultured bacterium. RNAcentral's name for it is "bacterial SSU rRNA". It matches the Rfam family "Bacterial small subunit ribosomal RNA", at positions 28 to 334 of the family's 1533-position model. The record is from RNAcentral.
GACGAACGCUGGCGGCAUGCCUAACACAUGCAAGUCGAACGGGGAUACGAGAGCUUGCUUUUGUAUCUUAGUGGCGGACGGGCGAGUAACGCGUGAGCAACCUGCCCUUCAGUGGGGAAUAACGUCUGGAAACGGACGCUAAUACCGCAUAACACAACGAAGCCGCAUGACUUUGUUGUCAAAGGAUUUAUUCGCUGAAAGAUGGCCUCGCGUCCCAUUAGCUAGUUGGUGAGGUAACGGCCCACCAAGGCGACGAUGGGUAGCCGGACUGAGAGGUUGACCGGCCACAUUGGGACUGAGAUACGGCCCAG